CGUGGGUAGUCCCUCCAUAUCGCGAACAAAUCUUUCGCCUUUUACUAAGGAUUUCCGUGUGGGGGGGCUGCGUGCCCUUAAGACACUAAUUUUUUGUGGUCCCCUCCUUACCGCUU
Small nuclear RNA from Zophobas morio, 116 nucleotides. RefSeq annotates it as U5 spliceosomal RNA. NCBI's taxonomy places the organism in Eukaryota, Metazoa, Arthropoda, Insecta, Coleoptera, Tenebrionidae. The record is from RefSeq and is a predicted model, not a curated record. The transcript has a single exon.